GACGAAUGCUGGCGGCGUGCUUAACACAUGCAAGUCGAGCGGUAAGGCCCUUUCGGGGGGUACACGAGCGGCGAAACGGGUGAGUAACACGUGGGUGACCUGCCCUCAGCUCUGGGAUAAGCCUGGGAAACCGGGUCUAAUACUGGAUAUGACUCCAUGACGCAUGUUGUGGGGUGGAAAGCCUUGUGCGGCUGAGGAUGGGCCCGCGGCCUAUCAGCUUGUU
Molecule: ribosomal RNA, 223 nt
Filed under: uncultured bacterium
Lineage: Bacteria
Description: partial 16S ribosomal RNA
Rfam family: Bacterial small subunit ribosomal RNA
Source: RNAcentral